GGUCCUAUGGUGUAGUGGCAGCACAUGGGAUUUUGACUGUAUCACGGAAUUAUUCCCACGACCCAGGUUCGAACCCUGGUUGGACCU
Molecule: non-coding RNA, 87 nt
Organism: Armillaria mellea
Lineage: Eukaryota; Fungi; Basidiomycota; Agaricomycetes; Agaricales; Physalacriaceae
Source: the annotation of a GenBank genome assembly